RNAcentral lists this ribosomal RNA (356 nucleotides) under uncultured bacterium. Its description in RNAcentral is "bacterial SSU rRNA". It matches the Rfam family "Bacterial small subunit ribosomal RNA", at positions 8 to 350 of the family's 1533-position model. The record is from RNAcentral.
AGAGUUUGAUCCUGGCUCAGGAUGAACGCUAGCUACAGGCUUAACACAUGCAAGUCGAGGGGAAACGACAUCGAAAGCUUGCUUUUGAUGGGCGUCGACCGGCGCACGGGUGAGUAACGCGUAUCCAACCUGCCCACCACUUGGGGAUAACCUUGCGAAAGUAAGACUAAUACCCAAUGAUAUCUCUAGAAGACAUCUGAAAGAGAUUAAAGAUUUAUCGGUGAUGGAUGGGGAUGCGUCUGAUUAGCUUGUUGGCGGGGUAACGGGCCCACCAAGGGCUACGAUCAGUAGGGGUUCUGAGAGGAAGGUCCCCCGACAUUGGAACUGAGACACGGUCCAAACUCCUACGGGAGGCA